This is a small RNA of Citrobacter koseri ATCC BAA-895, 108 nucleotides long. It matches the Rfam family "ArcZ RNA". Rfam says of the family: This RNA was discovered in E. coli during a large scale screen. SraH expression is highly abundant in stationary phase, but low levels could be detected in exponentially growing cells as well. The record is from Rfam. Lineage: Bacteria; Pseudomonadati; Pseudomonadota; Gammaproteobacteria; Enterobacterales; Enterobacteriaceae.
GUGCGGCCUGAAAAGCAGAGCUGCGCCUGUGUAAAAAACAAUCAUAACUUACGGCGCAGCCACGAUUUCCCUGGUGUUGGCGCAGUAUUCGCGCACCCCGGUCAAUCC